CCUACGGGAGACAGCAGUGAGGAAUAUUGGUCAAUGGGCGGGAGGCUGAACCAGCCAAGUCGCGUGAGGGAAGACGGUCCUAUGGAUUGUAAACCUCUUUUGUCGGGGAGCAAAAGACGCCACGCGUGGCGUUCCGAGAGUACCCGAAGAAAAAGCAUCGGCUAACUCCGUGCCAGCAGCCGCGGUAAUACGGAGGAUGCGAGCGUUAUCCGGAUUUAUUGGGUUUAAAGGGUGCGCAGGCGGAAGAUCAAGUCAGCGGUAAAAUUGAGAGGCUCAACCUCGUCGAGCCGUUGAAACUGGUUUUCUUGAGUGAGUGAGAAGUAUGCGGAAUGCGUGGUGUAGCGGUGAAAUGCAUAGAUAUCACGCAGAACUCCGAUUGCGAAGGCAGCAUACCGGCGCUCAACUGACGCUCAUGCACGAAAGUGUGGGUAUCGAACAGGAUUAGAUACCCUAGUAGUC
This 459-nucleotide ribosomal RNA is filed under the name uncultured bacterium. RNAcentral's name for it is "partial 16S ribosomal RNA". It matches the Rfam family "Bacterial small subunit ribosomal RNA", at positions 338 to 795 of the family's 1533-position model. The record is from RNAcentral.